GUAGGUGGCAAGCGUUGUCCGGAAUUAUUGGGCGUAAAGCGCGCGCAGGUGGUUCUUUAAGUCUGAUGUGAAAGCCCCCGGCUCAACCGGGGAGGGUCAUUGGAAACUGGGGAACUUGAGUGCAGGAGAGGAAAGUGGAAUUCCACGUGUAGCGGUGAAAUGCGUAGAUAUGUGGAGGAACACCAGUGGCGAAGGCGACUUUCUGGCCUGUAACUGACACUGAGGCGCGAAAGCGUGGGGAGCAAACAGGGAUUAGAUACCCUGGUAGUCCACGCCGUAAACGAUGAGUGCUAAGUGUUGGGGGGGGUUUCCGCCCCCGUCAGUGCUGCAGCUAACGCAUUAAGCACUCCGCCCCGGGGAUACGGUCGCAAGACUG
RNAcentral lists this ribosomal RNA (376 nucleotides) under uncultured organism. Its description in RNAcentral is "partial 16S ribosomal RNA". It matches the Rfam family "Bacterial small subunit ribosomal RNA", at positions 527 to 896 of the family's 1533-position model. The record is from RNAcentral.